This is a long non-coding RNA of Monomorium pharaonis (pharaoh ant), 499 nucleotides long. RefSeq lists it as uncharacterized. Lineage: Eukaryota; Metazoa; Arthropoda; Insecta; Hymenoptera; Formicidae. The transcript is spliced from 2 exons. The record is from RefSeq and is a predicted model, not a curated record.
CGCGCCGUCCCGCCGGUCUGUUUUGCAACCUCUCCCCGCCUCUCCCGCGACAGCGUCGGUAUCAUCACGUCGUGUCAUCGCGCCGCUUUUUGUAAUGUAAAAUAGAUCUAUAUCUACUCGACGGCACCAUGUAACGACGGUACCAAUGCUCUCGCUAAAAGUUGCAGAAUAUGCGCCCUGCAUGUAAAAUUAGACGUACGCGUUCGACGCGGACGUACAUCUCUAGAUAACCCGUGCGUCAUGAACGACACGUCGAGCAGCUGAUCAGGUGAUAAACUCUGAAUUCGACGCUCGUAUCACAGUUAAAUGGCAAAUAGCAAAUGAUGCGAUCGAGAGCAAAUCACAUUAGAUGCGCGAUGCUGGAAAGGGUGAAUGAGAGCUCGCUGUACCGUAGCAGUGCCUGUAAUAGAUAAAAGAGAGAUUCAGUCUUCUAAAAUGUAUCUUGUAAUAUUUACACUGUAAUUGUAUGCAUUUAUAAAAAUCUAUGGAAAAACGUGCA